UACGUAGGUGGCUAGCGUUAUCCGGAAUUACUGGGUGUAAAGGGCGAGUAGGCGGGCUGGUAAGUCAGAUGUGAAAUGUCGGAGCUUAACUCCGGAGCUGCAUUUGAGACUGCCGGUCUUGAGUGAUGGAGAGGCAGAUGGAAUUCCCGGUGUAGCGGUGGAAUGCGUAGAUAUCGGGAGGAACACCAGUGGCGAAGGCGGUCUGCUGGACAUUAACUGACGCUGAGGAGCGAAAGCGUGGGGAGCAAAC
RNAcentral lists this ribosomal RNA (250 nucleotides) under uncultured prokaryote. Its description in RNAcentral is "partial 16S ribosomal RNA". It matches the Rfam family "Bacterial small subunit ribosomal RNA", at positions 524 to 773 of the family's 1533-position model. The record is from RNAcentral.